GGCCUCCUGAUGCUUAUCACCAGGUGUCUUACACUGACCAUAAAGAAAUAGGAGGCAAAAUAAACCUACCCCAUAUACACCUUCAUCUAGGUCUGUACCUGGUCUAUGUUGUGAAUGGAGAGACAUGA
This 128-nucleotide small nucleolar RNA is filed under the name Castor canadensis (American beaver). Its description in RNAcentral is "Small nucleolar RNA SNORA51 (ENSCCNG00000003114.1)". It matches the Rfam family "Small nucleolar RNA SNORA51". From Rfam's summary of the family: ACA51 is a member of the H/ACA class of snoRNA that guide the sites of modification of uridines to pseudouridines. Lineage: Eukaryota; Metazoa; Chordata; Mammalia; Rodentia; Castoridae. The record is from Rfam by way of RNAcentral.